UGAUACACAAACAAGGAAUCUCUGGAGAAGAAAUAUAUCUCAUAGUAAAUAAGUGCAUAAUCCACCAUGAAGGGGGUCAUUUGACAUAUUUAUAUAGUUACACUGUUUUUUAACCAAUUUAUGCAUUUUAUAUUUUACUUAUUUUCAGAGGGUGUAUUAUUUUUGUUAUUCUUACCAGUUAAGUUAUUCCUUUUUAUUAUGCUAUAUAAAAUAUUUAAUGGUAUAUAAGGCUUUCUUCUUUAUAAAUUUUAGUUGCAUAAUAUACACAAUUUUAAUACAAUGCUAAUUUUUAAAGAAAAAUUGAAAUGUAAUAGAUAAUACUAAAUAAUAAAGAUGAAAGCCAUACAAAAUGGGAUAAAGCAUAGAAUAAAUUUCGUAUUUGUCUCAGCGUAUUUUCCAUUCCACUUCUACAGAGGGAGACACUUAAUCUGUUUCUUAAGAUCCAUGAUAUAAGAAUCUGUCUGAAUGUAAUUGUGUUUAAAUAUACGUAUUUUAUUCUGUAAAAAAAAAUAUCCUGUGAUAAUCUAUGUGGGAAAAGAAUGUGAAAGGGAAUGGAUGUAUGUACAUGUAUAACUGAAUCUCUUUGUUGUACAGCAGAAAUUAUCACAACCUUGUAAAUCAACUAUACUUCAAUAAAUUUUUUUAAAAAAAUGAAAAAAGAAAAAGAACUAGCCUGGUGCUGGAGACAGUGACACCUUGGCUGGUCCCUCUGAGCCAAAUUUCUGUGACAUCGGAAGGCUCAGGGAGACAAAAAGGCCAAUCAAGCAUCCAGACGUGCCCCAGACACAGGGGAACUGUCCCUGCUCAGCAGCCACAGGCAGGCUUCUGGGAACAGUGUGGUGCAGUGGCUGAGGUCCCAAGGUGGUCAGGCAAAACCCUGCAGGGCUGAGAUCCUCUUGGGAGCCUAAGGAAGAGGUCCUCCCAGAACUGGCUGCUCCUGGUAUGCUCCUGGUGUGCCCUGACACCAGAUGAAACAGUCGCUUGUGGCUGAUGGUGUAACUGAGCAGGACCUUGUGAGGUCUUCCCAGAGUGGACCCCUACUCAUGUCUUCUGCCUGCCUUCUUGUCUAUAGAAAAAAACUUUCGUCAAACAAUCGAUUCAUUCGGAGAGGUGAGAAAAUACAGAGAAAGGAAAACCAUCAAGCAAGACGAAUAAUGAUAGUUUAGCCAUUCGACAAAGUCAAGGACCUUUAGUUAGUUCUUCUUCAAAGACUAUAGGUAAUAUUCUUUGCCAUGUCCUUGGAGCUGUUUUGCAGGUACUGACGCCCCACUGGGUGGAAGAAGUCAACCGUGUGCUGCCCACAUGCACGUAGACCCCAGACUGGUUGGAAUCAGGAGGCUGAUGACGCUGACUCCCAAUUAUCUCGCCACCAACCCAAUCAGGAAAGUGUCCAUGAACUGACCACGCCCUGUUCCUCAAACAUGGUAAGACUCCUCACUGCCCCCUCCAAGGGGGGCACAGUCCUUGAGGUACUAGUGGGCUGUGUUCCCUUCUUUACCUGGCAAUGAAAGCUACUUUUUCUGUUUCCUCAAAAAAAAAAAAAAAAGAAAAAGAAAAAAAA
This 1561-nucleotide long non-coding RNA is filed under the name Sus scrofa (pig). Its description in RNAcentral is "lncRNA (ENSSSCG00015019624.1)". Lineage: Eukaryota; Metazoa; Chordata; Mammalia; Artiodactyla; Suidae. The record is from RNAcentral.